RNAcentral lists this non-coding RNA (27 nucleotides) under Homo sapiens (human). Lineage: Eukaryota; Metazoa; Chordata; Mammalia; Primates; Hominidae. The record is from RNAcentral.
UAGGAAACAAGCAGCAAGCUCAGGAGC